Non-coding RNA from Glossina austeni, 206 nucleotides. NCBI's taxonomy places the organism in Eukaryota, Metazoa, Arthropoda, Insecta, Diptera, Glossinidae. The record is from Rfam.
AGUAAGUGGAGAGAAACAGAUGGAGUCUGGUUGCAAGCCUUCGCGAAAUAAUACCUAGAGGAGAUCCCGCGGAGGACAGUGAUCUAGGUGAUGUGCGGAUUGAGAGGGGGAGGGUAGAUUUAGCACGUAGGCGCCAAGAAUGGUGAAACGUGCAUGCUGCUUUUACGGGCCAGCAGUACCUUUUGCAGGUUUCGGCCUUCACAUUC